CCUACGGGUGGCAGCAGUGGGGAAUAUUGCACAAUGGGGGGAACCCUGAUGCAGCGACGCCGCGUGAGUGAAGAAGUAUUUCGGUAUGUAAAGCUCUAUCAGCAGGGAAGAAGAUGACGGUACCUGACUAAGAAGCCCCGGCUAACUACGUGCCAGCAGCCGCGGUAAUACGUAGGGGGCAAGCGUUAUCCGGAUUUACUGGGUGUAAAGGGAGCGUAGACGGCAGGGCAAGUCUGGAGUGAAAGCCCGGGGCCCAACCCCGGGACUGCUUUGGAAACUGCCAUGCUGGAGUGCGGGAGAGGUAAGCGGAAUUCCUAGUGUAGCGGUGAAAUGCGUAGAUAUUAGGAGGAACACCAGUGGCGAAGGCGGCUUACUGGACAGUAACUGACGUUGAGGCUCGAAAGCGUGGGGAGCAAACAGGAUUAGAUACCCGAGUAGUC
Molecule: ribosomal RNA, 440 nt
Filed under: uncultured bacterium
Lineage: Bacteria
Description: partial 16S ribosomal RNA
Rfam family: Bacterial small subunit ribosomal RNA
Source: RNAcentral